This 377-nucleotide ribosomal RNA is filed under the name uncultured bacterium. Its description in RNAcentral is "bacterial SSU rRNA". It matches the Rfam family "Bacterial small subunit ribosomal RNA", at positions 523 to 898 of the family's 1533-position model. The record is from RNAcentral.
AUACGGAGGGUGCAAGCGUUAAUCGGAAUUACUGGGCGUAAAGCGCACGUAGGUGGUUUGUUAAGUCGGAUGUGAAAUCCCCGGGCUCAACCUGGGAAUGGCAUUCGAGACUGGCAAGCUAGAGUCUGGUAGAGGGUGGUGGAAUUCCAGGUGUAGCGGUGAAAUGCGUAGAUAUCUGGAGGAACAUCAGUGGCGAAGGCGGCCACCUGGACCAAGACUGACACUGAGGUGCGAAAGCGUGGGUAGCAAACAGGAUUAGAUACCCUGGUAGUCCACGCCGUAAACGAUGAGAACUAGAUGUUGGGAGGGUUAAACCUUCUAGUGUCGCAGCUAACGCACUAAGUUCUCCGCCUGGGGAGUACGGCCGCAAGGUUAAA